GCUGCGUGGGCCGCCCUCUGACCCCUGCCCACGUGAGGGAGGGGCUUUUCUGGUGGAGCUCAGUCUACACCCCAGGCUCCGGGCCUGGCUCCUUGCGGCCCCUGGUUUCCAGGUGUGUACAGGGCCCAGGAGAGCUGCUGUGCAGUCCGGGCAGGGACUGCGGCCUGGGACACAAAGCCCCUUCAAGGACAGCAUGGGAGGGCAGUCCCACCUCGCACCACUCCUGUGCUCACAGAACACGGCCUCGGGGGCUCACCUCCUGCCCCUGCCCCCUCAGUCUCCACCCACACACACGCACAUCACACCACACACACAGGUGCACACACACUGCAGUGCACAGUCACUGUACACAUGCACCACACACAGGGACACACUUGCCACACACACACAGGCACACUACGUGCACACAUACUCACACCACACACAUACAGCCUUUUCUUCACACGUCUGAAUCCUGAUUGUCAGAGCAGCCACUUUUGGACUCAGCG
Molecule: long non-coding RNA, 488 nt
Filed under: Homo sapiens (human)
Lineage: Eukaryota; Metazoa; Chordata; Mammalia; Primates; Hominidae
Description: HSALNT0274432
Source: RNAcentral